RNAcentral lists this ribosomal RNA (424 nucleotides) under uncultured bacterium. RNAcentral's name for it is "bacterial SSU rRNA". It matches the Rfam family "Bacterial small subunit ribosomal RNA", at positions 356 to 772 of the family's 1533-position model. The record is from RNAcentral.
GGGGAAUUGUUCACAAUGGGCGCAAGCCUGAUGACGCAACGCCGCGUGGGGGAUGAAGGUCUUCGGAUUGUAAACCCCUGUCGAAUGGGACGAAAGACCCGGGAGCUAAUCAUCCCGGGAGUGACGGUACCGUUAAAGGAAGCCACGGCUAACUCUGUGCCAGCAGCCGCGGUAAUACAGAGGUCCCAAGCGUUGUUCGGAUUCACUGGGCGUAAAGGGCGCGUAGGUGGUGAGGUAAGUCGGAUGUGAAAGCUCCGAGCUCAACUCGGAAAUGGCAUUGGAAACUACCUUGCUCGAGGGUUUGAGGGGGGACUGGAAUACUUGGUGUAGCAGUGAAAUGCGUAGAUAUCAAGUAGAACACCAGUGGCGAAGGCGAGUCCCUGGAAAACUCCUGACACUGAGGCACGAAAGCUAGGGGAGCAAA